UCAGUGGGGUUCAGUGGGAAUCAAUGGGGUUCAAUUGGAUCAAUGGGGCUCAAUGGGUUUCAGUGGGGUUCAAUGGGGCUCAAUGGGGUUCAAUGGGGAUCAAUGGGGUCAAUGGGUUCAAUGGGGGUCAAUGGGGUCAAUGGGGUUCAGUGGGGUUCAGUGGGAAUCAAUGGGGCUCAAUUGAAUCAAUGGGGCUCAAUGGGUUUCAAUGGGGUUCAAUGGGGAUCAAUGGGGUCAAUGGGUUCAAUGGGGCUCAAUGGGGCUCAAUGGGGCUCAAUGGGUUUCAAUGGGGCUCAAUGGGGCUCAAUGGGUUUCAAUGGGUUUCAAUGGGGCUCAAUGGGGCUCAAUGGGGCUCAAUGGGGCUCAAUGGGUUUCAAUGGGGCUCAAUGGGG
Pezoporus occidentalis (night parrot) is the source of this 392-nucleotide long non-coding RNA. RefSeq lists it as uncharacterized. Lineage: Eukaryota; Metazoa; Chordata; Aves; Psittaciformes; Psittacidae. The transcript has 2 exons. The record is from RefSeq and is a predicted model, not a curated record.